AAAAAUCAAGAAAAAUGAGCAAAUGCGAAAGAAAUGAGUCGUGAUACAAACGUUUAUCACUUUCGGUCGAGUGAGCGAAUGAGUGCACGGUCGAAUGAACUGGUUACGAGUGUAGGUCGAGUGAGAGCUCAACGAGUGGCUUCUUCGGUUGCGUGAUGCUUCUCGAGUGGGAUAGUGUGACACGGUGGCGCGACAAGUGGGAGCUCGAGUGAGGAGAGAAACAAGUGGUGGUGAGUCGGUGGGUCGAGUGGAGGGAAGGCGAGCUCGAGUUGUGCCGGACAAGUGAAAGAGAGGGGAGGGUUGAGUGAUACUCCGACUGUGAGCUCGCGGUAGACGCGAAUCAAGUAUUCGUUGAUCUAGUGGGGAGACGAAGCUGUCGAGUGGUGUGCGCCUGAUCGUGUGGAAGUUUGCUCUGUCGGGUGAGUGCUUAGCGAACUUCGGUCGAGUAACGGUGCAGAAUGAGUGAGAGCAAACUUGUCACCGGUCGUGUGGUGAAAGCUUUAGCGUUGAGUGAAUCGAGUGGGUCGAGUGAGCUGUGGAGAACGGGUUGGUCGAGUGGCGUGACGGUGAGGUGCGUCGAGUGAGCUUGCUUGAGCGGCUUCAGUGAGGAUGCGAAAUCCGUCAAGUUCGGUCGAGUGAGCCAGCCAACGUGUCGAGUGAGAAGGAAAACUGGUCGACUAGAAUCGAGAGAGACGGUGGUAUCGACUAGCUUCGGCCGAGUGACGUAUGCUGCGGAGACGAUCGUUGAGUGAGUCGGUCGAGUGAGAGAGAACAGAGUGAUGUAGAGCCGAAAUCCAGUCGCGCGAAGAGGAGAUGAUGUUCGUGGUUCCUCCGUCUAGUAACGGUGAGAGCGAUCGAGUGGAUUCGUUGGUCGAGUGAGAGUGUGAAAGAGUGGGGAGCUCGAGUGAAAAGGGUGAAAAUGGUUGAAUGAUGAAACCGAGUGAAAGGUUUGAGUGAGUGAAGAUAAGAUAUGUGUGGUUUGGAUGUAGGAUGAGUUGAGCGAUAGAGAUGGUUUUUUUUUUUUUUUCCCACUUGACAAGAUCACGCACAAAUAAUUAUCUCCCACUCCAUGUUUUUCACUUUGUCAUACUCGAUUCUGCAUCCGCACGUUGCUCUGUUUUGCAUUACUCCAUCUAUCUGAAAUCCUGACCAACAGAAAACCAAAAACAAAAAUCAAAAACACAAAAAAAA
RNAcentral lists this long non-coding RNA (1191 nucleotides) under Capsella rubella. Its description in RNAcentral is "long non-coding RNA (CRUB_LNC002593)". The record is from RNAcentral. Lineage: Eukaryota; Viridiplantae; Streptophyta; Magnoliopsida; Brassicales; Brassicaceae.